GUCCGGUGGAUAAUCGGACGGUGCUAGCUGUGACAUCCGGUGGAUAAUCGCAUGGUGCUAGGUGUGCCACGUGGACAUGUUAGUUGGCUGAGAAACUGCACGGAAUUCGGUACUAGAGAUUAUCCGAUUCUUACUAAAUUAUAUCAUAUUAAUAUUAGCUAAUAUAUAAGUAUAAAAAUAAAUAAUUAGCAUGUAUUGGAUCCUCGGUAACUUUUAUUCUAGGUUCGCCACUGAACACAUGAUCUGUUCAUUACUAAUCAUAGAUUACAUAUUUCACUGGUUUUUAAUCUCCCAG
Molecule: long non-coding RNA, 295 nt
Filed under: Oryza brachyantha (malo sina)
Lineage: Eukaryota; Viridiplantae; Streptophyta; Magnoliopsida; Poales; Poaceae
Description: long non-coding RNA (OBRA_LNC000930)
Source: RNAcentral